This 557-nucleotide ribosomal RNA is filed under the name uncultured bacterium. Its description in RNAcentral is "bacterial SSU rRNA". It matches the Rfam family "Bacterial small subunit ribosomal RNA", at positions 772 to 1325 of the family's 1533-position model. The record is from RNAcentral.
ACGGAAUAGAUACCCAGGUAGUCCACGCCGUAAACGAUGGGUGCUAGGUGCUGCGGGCUUUGACUCUCGCGGUGCCGUAGCCAACGCAUUAAGCACCCCGCCUGGGAAGUACGGCCGCAAGGCUAAAAACUCAAAGGAAUUGACGGGGGCCCGCACAAGCGGUGGAGCAUGUGGUUUAAUUCGACGCAACGCGAAGAACCUUACCUGGGCUAGAAAAGGCAGAAACUGGGUAGAAAUGUCUGGGUGCCCUUCGGGGAAGUCUGUCGUUAGGUGCUGCAUGGCUGUCGUCAGCUCGUGUCGUGGGAUGUUGGGUUAAGUCCCGCAACGAGCGCAACCCCUGUCCUUAGUUACCAUCGGUUAGGCCGGGAACUCUAAGGAGACCGCCGAUACAUAAAUCGGAGGAAGGUGGGGAUGACGUCAAGUCCUCAUGGCCCUUAUGUCCAGGGCUACACACGUGCUACAAUGGUCGGUACAAACCGUCGCAAGCCCGCGAGGGGAGCCAAUCGGAAAAAACCGACCUCAGUACAGAUAAGAGUCUGCAACUCGACUCUUUGAAG